AAGGGAAUCACCUAAGUAUGUCAUACCCAAAAGCUGAAAACUGCUACUCGUUGCUGUUGACUCGUUGAUGUUGUUGUUGCUGCAAAUCUUGUAGUCGUCUUCG
Molecule: long non-coding RNA, 103 nt
Organism: Rhagoletis zephyria (snowberry fruit fly)
Lineage: Eukaryota; Metazoa; Arthropoda; Insecta; Diptera; Tephritidae
Source: RefSeq, a predicted model, not a curated record